Puntigrus tetrazona (Sumatra barb) is the source of this 1238-nucleotide long non-coding RNA. RefSeq lists it as uncharacterized. The transcript has 2 exons. NCBI's taxonomy places the organism in Eukaryota, Metazoa, Chordata, Actinopteri, Cypriniformes, Cyprinidae. The record is from RefSeq and is a predicted model, not a curated record.
GAAUACGGAGUCAUUUUCCUAGAGACCAGCGCCAAAACAGGACUCAACGUGGACGAGGCCUUCAUGACGGUGGCAAAAGAGCUGGUCAGACGCUCGGUCCAGCUGCCGGUGGAGCCCAGGUUUCAUCUCCACGACGUGCUGCAGCCGGAGAAAGAGACGUCCAGCUGCUGCGGCUUCAGCUGAAAGAGAGCGGCGGUCAGUCCCGAGUUUAACACAAACCUCCUCCUCAGAGUCGCCCCAAGCAGUCUGUGUGACCCUGGACCACAAAACCACUCUUUAUUUGCUAAAUCUAGAACCUGAGGGUGCAAAAAACGAGUUCCAAUGAAGCUCUUAUCGGUGCAUGUAACUAAUCAAAAAUGGAAGUUUUGAAACGAAAUAUAAUCUUACGUGAUAUCCUGUGGCUUACCUGCCGUGAAGGAAAGGUGUAUGAACAUGUUGUUGUCUGUCGUGGACUGCUUCUGUGCUCCAGGGUCAAGUUUAUUAACGAAUAGCAUGUAUAUAUGUGUUCAAACAGUAAGCCCUUUGUGAUUCUAUAUGCUGCUUGCAAUUGAUUCCCAAACACACGCUGCUUUAAAAUGAGUGCAAGCAGAGACUGAAGUCACAGGAAGUAGAUAAACGUCUCUAGACUGCUUCAUACGCUUUACAGCCGGCUUUCUCCCGCUGCGUCUGAAUCUCAGGAUCUGGGAACAUUAUGCAUCGUCAGGCGCUCCAAAAUAUCGCAAAUCUCGAUGAAGAAAAUAUGCAUUUAUCCGCGUUCGAUGUACGGCGAAUGAAGCAGAACUCCUGAUAUGACUGACUGAUUUUACUAAGGAAGCUGCCAUGUGUUUUUAUCCGAUUUUAUGAUCAAAAACUAUUUUGUAUGGCCUCUGUUUUGCUGAAAUCAGAACAAUUUGCACAGUUUGAUGUCAGAUGUGCUCAGGUCUUUUCCUGUGAGGCUUUCUAAAAGAUGAGCGGUCGUGUCUGUUCCUCAUAGACGUGUGCUUUGUGAUAAACAUGUUUUAUAUGUUUAGUUUGACUGUGUUUCAUUCACACUAUCAAAGCUUUACUCUCUCAUCAGCAACGAUUUGGACUUCUUGGUGUUGUGCAAUGACUAUAAAACUCUUUUCUUGCAAUAUCAACAAAAAACAAGAAAAAAAAGCACGUAACAAACAGAGGCUUGUGAUGAUUUAUAUGUUUAAUUGAAGAAACGUCUUAUUUUUUAGUGUUGUGCAAUCGCUAUAAAAACAUUGCAAACUGAA